CAGCAGCCGCGGUAAUACGUAAGGGGCGAGCGUUGUUCGGGAUUAUUGGGCGUAAAGGGUGAGUAGGCGGAUAUAUAAGUCUAUGCAUAAAAUACCACAGCUCAACUGUGGAACUAUGUUGGAAACUAUAUGUCUAGAGUCUGAUAGAGGAAGUUAGAAUUCCUGGUGUAAGGGUGGAAUCUGUUGAUAUCAGGAAGAAUACCGGAGGCGAAGGCGAACUUCUGGGUCAAGACUGACGCUGAGUCACGAAAGCGUAGGGAGCAAACAGGAUUAGAUACCCUGGUAGU
Molecule: ribosomal RNA, 287 nt
Filed under: uncultured Borrelia sp.
Lineage: Bacteria; Pseudomonadati; Spirochaetota; Spirochaetia; Spirochaetales; Borreliaceae
Description: partial 16S ribosomal RNA
Rfam family: Bacterial small subunit ribosomal RNA
Source: RNAcentral